AUAACAAUUAGGUUAGUUUGGUUAGAAUAAUAAAUAAACAGUGAAUUCACACUUUUCAUUCUCUUAUAUUGUAUUCAUGUUCUUCUUUAAUGGUAACAUGCUUGUUGCAGUAAUUCGUGAUGCAAUCUGUUUUCACGCGUAGAAAGAAAGAGCUUCGAUGCUCACUCGUCGGAAUGUGAAAGAAAACUAAUCCGUCGAUCGUCAAAGUCAGUCACAAGUCUGUUUUUGUUGACGUUAUACAUAAUCAACGAUGGGGAUAUUAAAAUUUAUUGUUUAAAUAAUUUUUAAAUAAUCAAAAAUAUUAAUUUAUAAGUUUUCUCGCGUAGAAAGAAAGAGCUUCGAUGCUCACUCGUCGGAAUGUGAAAGAAAACUAAUCCGUCGAUCGUCAAAGUCAGUCACAAGUCUGUUUUUGUUGACGUUAUACAUAGUCAACGAUGGGGAUAUUAAAAUUUUUUUCACGCGUAGAAAGAAAGAGCUGCGAUGCUCACUCGUCGGAAUGUGAAAGAGAACUAAUCCGUCGAUCGUCAAAGUCAGUCACAAGUCUGUUUUUGUUGACGUUAUACAUAGUCAACGAUGGGGAUAUUAAAAUUUAUUGUUUAAAUAAUUUUUAAAUAAUCAAAAAUAUUAAUUUAUAAGUUUUCUCGCGUAGAAAGAAAGAGCUUCGAUGCUCACUUGUCGGAAUGUGAAAGAAAACUAAUCCGUCGAUCGUCAAAGUCAGUCACAAGUCUGUUUUUGUUGACGUUAUACAUAGUCAACGAUGGGGAUAUUAAAAUUUAUUGUUUAAAUAAUUUUUAAAUAAUCAAAAAUAUUAAUUUAUAAGUUUUCUCGCGUAGAAAGAAAGAGCUUCGAUGCUCACUCGUCGGAAUGUGAAAGAAAACUAAUCCGUCGAUCGUCAAAGUCAGUCACAAGUCUGUUUUUGUUGACGUUAUACAUAGUCAACGAUGGGGAUAUUAAAAUUUUUUUCUCGCGUAGAAAGAAAGAGCUUCAUUGUUUACUCGUUGGAAUAUAAAAGGAAACUAAUUCGUCGAUCGUCAGUCAGUCAUAAAUCUGUCUUUGUUGAUGUCACACAUAGUCAACGAUGGGGAUAUUAAAAUUUAUUGUUUAAAUAAUUUUUAAAUAAUCGAAAAUAUUAAUUUUUAAGUUUUCACGCGUAGAAAGAAAGAGCUUCGAUGCUCACUCGUCGGAAUGUGAAAGAAAACUAAUCCGUCGAUCGUCAAAGUCAGUCACAAGUCUGUUUUUGUUGACGUUAUACAUAGUCAACGAUGGGGAUAUUAAAAUUUUUUUCUCGCGUAGAAAGAAAGAGCUUCAUUGUUUACUCGUUGGAAUAUAAAAGGAAACUAAUUCGUCGAUCGUCAGUCAGUCAUAAAUCUGUCUUUGUUGAUGUCACACAUAGUCAACGAUAGGGAUAUUAAAAUUUAUUGUUUAAAUAAUUUUUAAAUAAUCAAAAAUAUUAAUUUAUAAGUUUUCUCGCGUAGAAAGAAAGAGCUUCGAUGCUCACUCGUCGGAAUGUGAAAGAAAACUAAUCCGUCGAUCGUCAAAGUCAGUCACAAGUCUGUUUUUGUUGACGUUAUACAUAGUCAACGAUGGGGAUAUUAAAAUUUUUUUCUCGCGUAGAAAGAAAGAGCUUCAUUGUUUACUCGUUGGAAUAUAAAAGGAAACUAAUUCGUCGAUCGUCAGUCAGUCAUAAAUCUGUCUUUGUUGAUGUCACACAUAGUCAACGAUGGGGAUAUUAAAAUUUAUUGUUUAAAUAAUUUUUAAAUAAUCAAAAAUAUUAAUUUAUAAGUUUUCUCGCGUAGAAAGAAAGAGCUUCGAUGCUCACUCGUCGGAAUAUAAAAGGAAACUAAUUCGUCGAUCGUCAGUCAGUCACAAGUCUGUUUUUGUUGACGUUAUACAUAGUCAACGAUGGGGAUAUUAAAAUUUUUUUCUCGCGUAGAAAGAAAGAGCUUCAUUGUUUACUCGUUGGAAUAUAAAAGGAAACUAAUUCGUCGAUCGUCAGUCAGUCAUAAAUCUGUCUUUGUUGAUGUCACACAUAGUCAACGAUGGCGAUAUUAAUAUUUAUUGUUUAAAUAAUUUUUAAAUAAAGGUGAGUAUUUAUUUUGACGUUUUCAGGCGGAGAAAGAGAGAGCUUCAUUGUUUACUCUUUGGAAUAUAAAGGAAAACUAAUUCGAUAGUUGUCAAAGUCAUUUAAAAGACGACAGCAUACGAAACUAUCAUUCACAAAGAAAGGACGAAAAUAGUAUUUACGCAAGUAGCAAGUCGAGAGCAACUCUUGAAAAAUAUGAUUCUUUCAAAUAUUUUAAUAAGUUUUAUUUUUAUACAUAAACUGUUUGUUCAUUAAUAUUGUUUAAGAAUUACGUUUUUAUUUAUUGUUGGCGUAAAUAUGAGAUUAGAGACGUGAUAAACCAGCCUGAAGUGAUGGAAAAUCAGAAUUGCCUAUUUUUUAAGUGUUUGAAAAAUAAUUAUUUGUUUAAAAAUUAUUAUUGCAAGAUAUAGAUAUCACAUAAAAAUGCUUUUUAAGAAAUUAUCUAUGCCUCUAUAAUUUUUACUAUUUGUGAUUAGAAAGUAAGUUAGUUUAU
Vespula vulgaris is the source of this 2576-nucleotide long non-coding RNA. RefSeq lists it as uncharacterized. The transcript is spliced from 14 exons. The record is from RefSeq and is a predicted model, not a curated record. NCBI's taxonomy places the organism in Eukaryota, Metazoa, Arthropoda, Insecta, Hymenoptera, Vespidae.